This 128-nucleotide small nucleolar RNA is filed under the name Castor canadensis (American beaver). RNAcentral describes it as "Small nucleolar RNA SNORA51 (ENSCCNG00000031181.1)". It matches the Rfam family "Small nucleolar RNA SNORA51". Rfam says of the family: ACA51 is a member of the H/ACA class of snoRNA that guide the sites of modification of uridines to pseudouridines. Lineage: Eukaryota; Metazoa; Chordata; Mammalia; Rodentia; Castoridae. The record is from Rfam by way of RNAcentral.
GGCCUCCUGGUGCUCACCACAGGCUGUGUUCUCAUACUGACUGUAGAGACAACCAAAGUGAACCUACCCAAUAUGCACCUCGGCCCAGGCCCUAUGCGCGCUCUGUACUGUGAAUGGGGAAGACAUGG